GACGAACGCUGGCGGCGUGCUUAACACAUGCAAGUCGAACGGAAAGGCCCUGCUUUUGUGGGGUGCUCGAGUGGCGAACGGGUGAGUAACACGUGAGUAACCUGCCCUUGACUUUGGGAUAACUUCAGGAAACUGGGGCUAAUACCGGAUAGGAGCUCCUGCUGCAUGGUGGGGGUUGGAAAGUUUCGGCGGUUGGGGAUGGACUCGCGGCUUAUCAGCUUGUUGGUGGGGUAGUGGCUUACCAAGGCUUUGACGGGUAGCCGGCCUGAGAGGGUGACCGGCCACAUUGGGACGGAGAUACGGCCCAGACUCCUACGGGAGGCAGCAGUGGGGAAUAUUGCACAAUGGGCGGAAGCCUGAUGCAGCAACGCCGCGUGCGGGAUGACGGCCUUCGGGGUGUAAACCGCUUUCGCCUGUGACGAAGCGUGAGUGACGGUAAUGGGUAAAGAAGCACCGGCUAACUACG
This 466-nucleotide ribosomal RNA is filed under the name uncultured bacterium. RNAcentral's name for it is "partial 16S ribosomal RNA". It matches the Rfam family "Bacterial small subunit ribosomal RNA", at positions 28 to 505 of the family's 1533-position model. The record is from RNAcentral.